RNAcentral lists this microRNA (19 nucleotides) under Tribolium castaneum (red flour beetle). RNAcentral's name for it is "tca-miR-3879-3p". Lineage: Eukaryota; Metazoa; Arthropoda; Insecta; Coleoptera; Tenebrionidae. The record is from miRBase by way of RNAcentral.
AACCGGCCAUAAAGCCCUC